RNAcentral lists this long non-coding RNA (366 nucleotides) under Marmota monax (woodchuck). Lineage: Eukaryota; Metazoa; Chordata; Mammalia; Rodentia; Sciuridae. The record is from RNAcentral.
GACCCUUAUGAAAAGAAAGAAGGCCCAGAAGCUUGCUGUUCAGAAGGCUUUAUCAGAUGCAUUCCAGAAACUGUUCACUGUAGUUUUAGGUAAGACUUCUUUGUCUUUGAAGUACUUCAGUUUCAAUGAGCAAAUAAACUCAUUUUGAAAGUUAAUUGGAUGAAAAUGUGGAUAUCUAAAACCUUCCAUAUAAUGCUUUCAUUCACUAAAUUCUUUCAUAGCAAUGGUCUCAAAUUUGUCCUGUGAUAUUUGUGAGAAAAAUGACUGCAAAUAUUAUUGUCCCCAGUUUAUGAAUGUAGAACAACUUGCCUAAGCUCAUGCAGAAAGUAUUUGAUCCAAGUCUUCCUUCUCAAUUGCUUGCCUGUC